UUGAAUUCUUAUAGUUUUCAUUUCUUUUUUUAAGAAAAAAAAUUAUACCACUAAUUGUUGGUUUGUAGAUGUUGUUGAUCUAGUUGCCUUCAGAAGCAACACCGAUCUGGUUCUGGUGUUGGUGAUAUUUGUUUUUUUUCUUCUUCUUGUAGUUGAGGUGGAAAAUGAAGAUAUACUAUAAUACCAGAUCUGAUUCUUAGUAAAAAUAAAUGAUUAUGGUUUUUGGUAUUA
This 231-nucleotide long non-coding RNA is filed under the name Medicago truncatula (barrel medic). Its description in RNAcentral is "long non-coding RNA (MTRU_LNC007618)". Lineage: Eukaryota; Viridiplantae; Streptophyta; Magnoliopsida; Fabales; Fabaceae. The record is from RNAcentral.